GACGAACGCUGGCGGCGUGCCUAAUACAUGCAAGUUGAGCGAUGAAGAUUGGUGCUUGCACCAAUUUGAAGAGCAGCGAACGGGUGAGUAACGCGUGGGGAAUCUGCCUUUGAGCGGGGGACAACAUUUGGAAACGAAUGCUAAUACCGCAUAACAACUUUAAACAUAAGUUUUAAGUUUGAAAGAUGCAGUUGCAUCACUCAAAGAUGAUCCCGCGUUGUAUUAGCUAGUUGGUGAGGUAAAGGCUCACCAAGGCGAUGAUACAUAGCCGACCUGAGAGGGUGAUCGGCCACAUUGGGACUGAGACACGGCCCAAACUCCUACGGGAGGCAGCAGUAGGGAAUCUUCGGCAAUGGACGAAAGUCUGACCGAGCAACGCCGCGUGAGUGAAGAAGGGUUUCGGAUCGUAAAACUCUGUUGGUAGAGAAGAACGUUGGUGAGAGUGGAAAGCUCAUCAAGUGACGGUAACUACCCAGAAAGGGACGGCUAACUACGUG
Molecule: ribosomal RNA, 497 nt
Filed under: uncultured bacterium
Lineage: Bacteria
Description: partial 16S ribosomal RNA
Rfam family: Bacterial small subunit ribosomal RNA
Source: RNAcentral